This 77-nucleotide transfer RNA is filed under the name Robiginitomaculum sp. Its description in RNAcentral is "tRNA-Met". The record is from RNAcentral. Lineage: Bacteria; Pseudomonadati; Pseudomonadota; Alphaproteobacteria; Maricaulales; Robiginitomaculaceae.
GGGCCUCUGGAUAAACGGUUAAAUCGCACGACUCAUAAUCGUUGAGACUCCUAGUUCAAUUCUAGGGAGGCCCAUCA